GUGAGUGGUCUAACUGAUGCUUCUAGGGCUUCAGGAUUUCAGAGGAGGCUUCAGAGGAGAAGAGAGAUGUCCAGUGUAUGCUAAGAAACUGAUAUUUUCUGUUGGUGAUUAAGCCAGGAAAGAAGCAAAGAAAAACACUGUUUUCUAUAUAGGAGCCAACUAAGAGAUCGCUGGGAUUCCAUUUUUCACAUCUUACAUUUUGAUUAAAUUAUUCAGUAUCAACUCAACUGCUCUUCUAAUCAUCAUGCCAGCUUUGUUUUACCAAGGCAUCUCUCAGAAGCCUGGAGGAAAUGAAAAAUUUUCAUGGAAAGAUACAACUUUAAUUGAAACUGGAGUAAUUGGAAUAAUUUUCAUAAUAAUAAUGAUAAUCCCAUUUUUCUGUUGCAUAAAAAGAUGCAAAGAACGGGGUUUUCGCCAAGGACACUCAG
Cervus elaphus (red deer) is the source of this 428-nucleotide long non-coding RNA. RefSeq lists it as uncharacterized. NCBI's taxonomy places the organism in Eukaryota, Metazoa, Chordata, Mammalia, Artiodactyla, Cervidae. The transcript is spliced from 4 exons. The record is from RefSeq and is a predicted model, not a curated record.